CGGAAUGAGAACACUUUAAAUCCUUUAACGAGUAACAAUUGGAGGGCAAGUCUGGUGCCAGCAGCCGCGGUAAUUCCAGCUCCAAUAGCGUAUAUUAAAGUUGUUGCGGUUAAAAAGCUCGUAGUCUAAAUUGUGUCUCGCGCCGCCGGUUCAUCGUUCGCGGUGUUAACUGGCGUGCCGUGGGACGUCCUGCCGGCGGGCUUAGCUCGAGAGGGCGGCCCGACACGGUCCCGCCGCGGUGCUCUUCAUUGAGUGUCGAGGUGGGCCGGCACGUUUACUUUGAACAAAUUAGAGUGCUUAAAGCAGGCCGAAAUAUUGCCUGAAUAUUGUAUGCAUGGAAUAAUGAAAGAGGACCUCGGUUCUUUUUUGUUGGUUUUCAGAACCACGAGGUAAUGAUUAACGGAAACGAAUGGGGGCAUUCGUAUUGCGACGUUAGAGGUGAAAUUCUUGGAUCGUCGCAAGACGGACAGAAGCGAAAGCAUUUGCCAAAAACGUUUUCAUUGAUCAAGAACGAAAGUUAGAGGUUCGAAGGCGAUCAGAUACCGCCCUAGUUCUAACCAUAAACGAUGCCAACUAGCGAUCCGCCGACGUUCCUCCGAUGGCUCGGCGGGCAGCUUCCGGGAAACCAAAGCUUUUGGGUUCCGGGGGAAGUAUGGUUGCAAAGCUGAA
RNAcentral lists this ribosomal RNA (669 nucleotides) under Exochomus quadripustulatus (pine ladybird). RNAcentral's name for it is "SSU rRNA". It matches the Rfam family "Eukaryotic small subunit ribosomal RNA", at positions 510 to 1141 of the family's 1831-position model. The record is from RNAcentral. RNAcentral also lists the same sequence under 1 other name. Lineage: Eukaryota; Metazoa; Arthropoda; Insecta; Coleoptera; Coccinellidae.